CGCGUAGGCGGUCUUUUAAGUCAGGUGUGAAAGCCCGGGGCUCAACCCCGGAAGUGCACUUGAAACUAAGAGACUUGAGUAUGGGAGAGGGAAGUGGAAUUCCUGGUGUAGCGGUGAAAUGCGUAGAUAUCAGGAAGAACAUCAGUGGCGAAGGCGACUUCCUGGACCAAUACUGACGCUGAGGCGCGAAGGCGUGGGGAGCAAACA
This 207-nucleotide ribosomal RNA is filed under the name uncultured bacterium. RNAcentral's name for it is "partial 16S ribosomal RNA". It matches the Rfam family "Bacterial small subunit ribosomal RNA", at positions 568 to 774 of the family's 1533-position model. The record is from RNAcentral.